CACGGGGUUGCGAGCGUUGUCCGGAAUUACUAGGCGUAAAGGGCAGGCAGGCGGAUCCAUAAGUUUAUCGUUUAAGGCGUCGGCUUAACCGGCGUAGGGCGGUAGAUACUGUGGAUCUGGAAUGCGGUUGGGGAAGACAGAAUUCCUGGUGUAGCGGUGGAAUGCGCAGAGAUCAGGAGGAAUACCGAAGGCGAAGGCAGUCUUCCAAGCCGUUAUUGACGCUCAACUGCGAAGGUGUGGGUAUCAAACAGGAUUAGAUACCCGUAUAGUCCCUGA
Molecule: ribosomal RNA, 276 nt
Filed under: uncultured prokaryote
Description: partial 16S ribosomal RNA
Rfam family: Bacterial small subunit ribosomal RNA
Source: RNAcentral